UCGAGAAUCAUUCACAAUGGGGGAAACCCUGAUGGUGCGACGCCGCGUGUAUGAAGAAGGCCUUCGGGUUGUAAAGUACUUUCAGCGGGGAGGAAGGGAGUAAAGUUAAUACCUUUGCUCAUUGACGUUACCCGCAGAAGAGGCACCGGCUAACUCCGUGCCAGCAGCCGCGGUAAUACGGAGGGUGCAAGCGUUAAUCGGAAUUACUGGGCGUAAAGCGCACGCAGGCGGUUUGUUAAGUCAGAUGUGAAAUCCCCGGGCUCAACCUGGGAACUGCAUCUGAUACUGGCAAGCUUGAGUCUCGUAGAGGGGGGUAGAAUUCCAGGUGUAGCGGUGAAAUGCGUAGAGAUCUGGAGGAAUACCGGUGGCGAAGGCGGCCCCCUGGACGAAGACUGACGCUCAGGUGCGAAAGCGUGGGGAGCAAACAGG
RNAcentral lists this ribosomal RNA (429 nucleotides) under uncultured bacterium. RNAcentral describes it as "bacterial SSU rRNA". It matches the Rfam family "Bacterial small subunit ribosomal RNA", at positions 355 to 776 of the family's 1533-position model. The record is from RNAcentral.